RNAcentral lists this ribosomal RNA (261 nucleotides) under uncultured bacterium. RNAcentral's name for it is "partial 16S ribosomal RNA". It matches the Rfam family "Bacterial small subunit ribosomal RNA", at positions 524 to 784 of the family's 1533-position model. The record is from RNAcentral.
UACGAAGGGGGCUAGCGUUGUUCGGAAUUACUGGGCGUAAAGCGCGCGUAGGCGGUGAUCCAUGUCAGAGGUGAAAGCCCGGGGCUCAACUCCGGAAUUGCCUUUGAAACGGGAUCGCUAGAGUCCGAGAGAGGAUGGCGGAAUUCCUAGUGUAGAGGUGAAAUUCGUAGAUAUUAGGAAGAACACCGGUGGCGAAGGCGGCCAUCUGGCUCGGUACUGACGCUCAGGCGCGAAAGCGUGGGGAGCAAACAGGAUUAGAAA